RNAcentral lists this ribosomal RNA (1724 nucleotides) under Enterobacter ludwigii. RNAcentral describes it as "bacterial LSU rRNA". It matches the Rfam family "Bacterial large subunit ribosomal RNA", at positions 1226 to 2925 of the family's 2925-position model. Lineage: Bacteria; Pseudomonadati; Pseudomonadota; Gammaproteobacteria; Enterobacterales; Enterobacteriaceae. The record is from RNAcentral.
GGGUAGGGGAGCGUUCUGUAAGCCGUUGAAGGUGUCCUGUGAGGGGUGCUGGAGGUAUCAGAAGUGCGAAUGCUGACAUAAGUAACGAUAAAGCGGGUGAAAAGCCCGCUCGCCGGAAGACCAAGGGUUCCUGUCCAACGUUAAUCGGGGCAGGGUGAGUCGACCCCUAAGGCGAGGCCGAAAGGCGUAGUCGAUGGGAAACAGGUUAAUAUUCCUGUACUUGGUGUUACUGCGAAGGGGGGACGGAGAAGGCUAUGUUAGCCGGGCGACGGUUGUCCCGGUUUAAGCAUGUAGGCGGAGGUUCCAGGUAAAUCCGGUUCCUUGUUAACGCUGAGGUGUGAUGACGAGGCACUACGGUGCUGAAGUAACAAAUGCCCUGCUUCCAGGAAAAGCCUCUAAGCAUCAGGUAACAUCAAAUCGUACCCCAAACCGACACAGGUGGUCAGGUAGAGAAUACCAAGGCGCUUGAGAGAACUCGGGUGAAGGAACUAGGCAAAAUGGUGCCGUAACUUCGGGAGAAGGCACGCUGAUAUGUAGGUGAAGCCCCUGCGGGUGGAGCUGAAAUCAGUCGAAGAUACCAGCUGGCUGCAACUGUUUAUUAAAAACACAGCACUGUGCAAACACGAAAGUGGACGUAUACGGUGUGACGCCUGCCCGGUGCCGGAAGGUUAAUUGAUGGGGUUAGCGGUAACGCGAAGCUCUUGAUCGAAGCCCCGGUAAACGGCGGCCGUAACUAUAACGGUCCUAAGGUAGCGAAAUUCCUUGUCGGGUAAGUUCCGACCUGCACGAAUGGCGUAAUGAUGGCCAGGCUGUCUCCACCCGAGACUCAGUGAAAUUGAACUCGCUGUGAAGAUGCAGUGUACCCGCGGCAAGACGGAAAGACCCCGUGAACCUUUACUAUAGCUUGACACUGAACACUGGUCCUUGAUGUGUAGGAUAGGUGGGAGGCUUUGAAGCGUGGACGCCAGUCUGCGUGGAGCCAACCUUGAAAUACCACCCUUUAAUGGCUGGUGUUCUAACGUAGACCCGUGAUCCGGGUUGCGGACAGUGUCUGGUGGGUAGUUUGACUGGGGCGGUCUCCUCCCAAAGAGUAACGGAGGAGCACGAAGGUUAGCUAAUCCUGGUCGGACAUCAGGAGGUUAGUGCAAUGGCAUAAGCUAGCUUGACUGCGAGAGUGACGGCUCGAGCAGGUGCGAAAGCAGGUCAUAGUGAUCCGGUGGUUCUGAAUGGAAGGGCCAUCGCUCAACGGAUAAAAGGUACUCCGGGGAUAACAGGCUGAUACCGCCCAAGAGUUCAUAUCGACGGCGGUGUUUGGCACCUCGAUGUCGGCUCAUCACAUCCUGGGGCUGAAGUAGGUCCCAAGGGUAUGGCUGUUCGCCAUUUAAAGUGGUACGCGAGCUGGGUUUAGAACGUCGUGAGACAGUUCGGUCCCUAUCUGCCGUGGGCGCUGGAGAAUUGAGGGGGGCUGCUCCUAGUACGAGAGGACCGGAGUGGACGCAUCACUGGUGUUCGGGUUGUCAUGCCAAUGGCACUGCCCGGUAGCUAAAUGCGGAAGAGAUAAGUGCUGAAAGCAUCUAAGCACGAAACUUGCCCCGAGAUGAGUUCUCCCUGAGACUUUAAGUCUCCUGAAGGAACGUUGAAGACUACGACGUUGAUAGGUCGGGUGUGUAAGCGCAGCGAUGCGUUGAGCUAACCGAUACUAAUGAACCGUGAGGCUUAACCUU